Molecule: small RNA, 34 nt
Filed under: Arabidopsis thaliana (thale cress)
Lineage: Eukaryota; Viridiplantae; Streptophyta; Magnoliopsida; Brassicales; Brassicaceae
Description: ATSL142390
Source: RNAcentral
AGGUUACGGACUGCAGCAUGAAGACGCACAUAAU